RNAcentral lists this ribosomal RNA (427 nucleotides) under uncultured bacterium. RNAcentral's name for it is "bacterial SSU rRNA". It matches the Rfam family "Bacterial small subunit ribosomal RNA", at positions 355 to 774 of the family's 1533-position model. The record is from RNAcentral.
UGGGGAAUUUUGGACAAUGGGCGCAAGCCUGAUCCAGCCAUGCCGCGUGCAGGAUGAAGGCCCUCGGGUUGUAAACUGCUUUUGUACGGAACGAAAAGCCUCUUUCUAAUAAAGAGGGGUGAUGACGGUACCGUAAGAAUAAGCACCGGCUAACUACGUGCCAGCAGCCGCGGUAAUACGUAGGGUGCGAGCGUUAAUCGGAAUUACUGGGCGUAAAGCGUGCGCAGGCGGUCUUGCAAGACAGUGGUGAAAUCCCCGGGCUCAACCUGGGAACUGCCAUUGUGACUGCAAGGCUGGAGUACGGCAGAGGGGGAUGGAAUUCCGCGUGUAGCAGUGAAAUGCGUAGAUAUGCGGAGGAACACCGAUGGCGAAGGCAAUCCCCUGGGCCUGCACUGACGCUCAUGCACGAAAGCGUGGGGAGCAAACA